GAUGAACGCUGGCGGUAUGCUUAACACAUGCAAGUCGAACGGUACCUUCGGGUAUAGUGGCGGACGGGUGAGUAACGCGUGAGAACCUAUCUUCAGGUCGGGGACAACAGUUAGAAAUGACUGCUAAUACCGGAUGUGCCGAAAGGUAAAAGAUUUAUUGCCUGAAAAAGAGCUCGCGUCAGAUUAGCUAGUAGGUGGUGUAAGAGACUACCUAGGCUUCGAUCUGUAGCUGGUCUGAGAGGACGAUCAGCCACACUGGAACUGAGACACGGUCCAGACUCCUACGGGAGGCAGCAGUGGGGAAUUUUCCGCAAUGGGCGAAAGCCUGACGGAGCAAUACCGCGUGAGGGACGAAGGCUCUUGGGUCGUAAACCUCUUUUCUCAAGGAAGAUUCAGACGGUACUUGAGGAAUAAGCAUCGGCUAACUCUGUG
RNAcentral lists this ribosomal RNA (432 nucleotides) under uncultured bacterium. Its description in RNAcentral is "partial 16S ribosomal RNA". It matches the Rfam family "Bacterial small subunit ribosomal RNA", at positions 28 to 507 of the family's 1533-position model. The record is from RNAcentral.